AGGGUUUGAUUAUGGCUCAGGAUGAACGCUGGCGGCGUGCUUAACACAUGCAAGUCGAACGGGGAACAUUUUAUGGAAGCUUCGGUGGAAAUAGCUUGUUCCUAGUGGCGGACGGGUGAGUAACGCGUGGGUAACCUGCCUCACACUGGGGGAUAACAGUCAGAAAUGACUGCUAAUACCGCAUAAGCGCACGGGAUUGCAUGAUCCAGUGUGAAAAACUCCGGUGGUGUGAGAUGGACCCGCGUUGGAUUAGCCAGUUGGCAGGGUAACGGCCUACCAAAGCGACGAUCCAUAGCCGGCCUGAGAGGGUGGACGGCCACAUUGGGACUGAGACACGGCCCAG
This 343-nucleotide ribosomal RNA is filed under the name uncultured bacterium. RNAcentral describes it as "bacterial SSU rRNA". It matches the Rfam family "Bacterial small subunit ribosomal RNA", at positions 8 to 334 of the family's 1533-position model. The record is from RNAcentral.